This 928-nucleotide non-coding RNA is filed under the name Cryptobatrachus sp. JDL14865. RNAcentral describes it as "12S ribosomal RNA". It matches the Rfam family "Bacterial small subunit ribosomal RNA". Lineage: Eukaryota; Metazoa; Chordata; Amphibia; Anura; Hemiphractidae. The record is from RNAcentral.
AAAGGCUUGGUCCUGACCUUAAUAUCAAUUUCUACCCAACUUAUACAUGCAAGUCUCAGCACCCCAGUGAAGACGCCCUAAAACCCUCAUAGGGAUAAGGAGCCGGUAUCAGGCACAAUAAUUAGCCCACAACGCCUAGCCACGCCACACCCACAAGGGACUUCAGCAGUGAUUAAUAUUGAGUAUGAGCGUCAGCUUGACUCAGUCAGGGUAAAUAGAGCUGGCUAACCUAGUGCCAGCCGCCGCGGUUACACCAGGAGCUCAAAUUGAAAUUUAUCGGCGUAAAGCGUGAUUAAAAUUAUAUUAGAUUAGAGUUAAACCCCAACUAAGCUGUGGCACGCUUGUUAGUGGGAAGCACAAAACGAAAGUUACUCUAACCACAUCAACUUGAACUCACGACAGUCAGGACACAAACUAGGAUUAGAUACCCCACUAUGCCUGACCGUAAACCUUAAUUUACACCCUAAUCGCCAGGAAACUACGAGCAAAGCUUAAAACCCAAAGGACUUGACGGUACCCCAUAUCCCCCUAGAGGAGCCUGUCCUACAAUCGAUAAUCCUCGUUUAACCUCACCAUUUUUUGCCUCUCAGUCUGUAUACCUCCGUCGUCAGCUUACCCCAUGAGGGAUAUUCCAGUAGGCUCAAUGUACAUUCACCAAUACGUCAGGUCAAGGUGCAGCUAAUAAAAUGGGAAGAGAUGGGCUACACUUUCUAAUAUAGAAAAUACGGAAGACUACUAAUGAAAAAUAGUCUGAAGGCGGAUUUAGUAGUAAGAAGAGAAUAGAGUGUUCUUCUUAACCUGGUACUGGGGUGUGUACACACCGCCCGUCGCCCUCUUCGAAGAUAAUAGAUUAGUAUUUAACCAGCUUUAAUAUAUAAGAAGAGGUAAGUCGUAACAUGGUAAGCGUACCGGAAGGUGUGCUUGGAAA